CUUGACCAGGAAACGAACUGGGGCCGCAGUGGUGAGAGCGCUGAAGAAUCUUAACCGAUAGACCACUAUAACGUGAGAUACUGCCUUUGUAUAAAAGAGUCUGAAGUUACUAACAAUUUCCAGCCUUCUCCAAGGACUGCUGGUGUCCCAAACUGCCUUCUCAUGACUUCUUUGAGGGUAACUUAGAAUUUUAGUGCAGAAACGCAAACUGUAAAAGGUGAAGUGAUUGGUGUAAAGUCAAGCAUACACCACGGAGAAGACGGAACUCCAGGCAGGACAGUCAAUAGUCAGUAAGAACAGAAACAUCAGCUGGGCUCCUGUGUCUUCUGGCUUAUGGAUGGGUUCGGUCAAUGGGAGGCACUGGCAGGUGGCUGGAGGGCAAGCGGAAGGAAGAAGCUGGAGUAUUUCUCUGCCCUACCUUCUCGGCUUUGAGUACAGGCAGUCUCACCAUUCCUGGCAUCCAUAAGGAUCAGCGAGAGCCGGUGAUGAUGACAGUGGGCUACCACCACCGCUACAACCCAACAACUUCAAUUCUACUCACAAGCUCUAUCAAGGAAUGGUCUCUACUGCUCUCCUAAGUUCAGAACCAGUCCUAGUGGUAACCCUGGCAGGCAUAUGAGAAGAGGAAGCAACUACCUGAAUCAGCUGACCGACUUAUUUACACCAACCAGCAACUGGGUCAGUGGGAGCAACAACAGAUGAUUCUCCCCUCGCUGCACAAUGGAAUCACCUAGAAAGCUUUAAAAACUACUGACACCUGAGUUCCACUCCCAGGGACUUUCAUUUUAAUUGGUCUGGGAUACAACCUGGACAUUGGGACUUUCUUAACUUUCUUGGGUUAUGCUAAUAUGAAGCCUAGAUUAAGAACCAUUGCUUUUGUACCUUUAUGCACCUCACAACAAACAGACUGCACUCAAGUUAGCAAGUGGGCUUUUAUGGCUAUUUAGAAUGGCCAGAGAAUACCUUCCUUUUAUCAGAGGAUGAGUAAAAACUACUGCACAUGUCAAUACUUUUACAAGCAAUGUACUCUUAGCGGUCAACAGUUUAUAUAAAAAUGUCCAGAUAUCAGUGCCCGAUGCUGUGGUUUUUGACUUUUCAGACAGAAAUGAACUGCCUACAUUCUAGUUCAUGGUAACAGUCAGACUCUAGUCAGGGAAAUGGACCCAUGAUAUAGCAAAAGGAAUUUAAUGUGGACAUUAGUUUAAAAGUGUUGGAAGAGCUGAAAGGCAAAACAAGUUUGGCAGGCAACCCAGAGAUGGGACAAAAAGAGGCUCCAUACUACCCAUAGAACUGGAGGGAAAAAGGGCCCUGAACUGCUAUGUAAGAAGCCCAGGAGACCAUAUGGAAGAGUACUGAGGUAUUGGACACAUAGGUGAAGAAACCAUUUUGGCCUUUCAGCCCACUCAAGCCUUCAAUGACUCCAGAUCCAGCCAAGAUCUGACUGCAAGUGGAUAAGAAACAUCAAGCAAG
This 1470-nucleotide long non-coding RNA is filed under the name Equus caballus (horse). RNAcentral describes it as "lncRNA (ENSECAG00000055834.1)". Lineage: Eukaryota; Metazoa; Chordata; Mammalia; Perissodactyla; Equidae. The record is from RNAcentral.